Molecule: long non-coding RNA, 380 nt
Organism: Xyrauchen texanus (razorback sucker)
Lineage: Eukaryota; Metazoa; Chordata; Actinopteri; Cypriniformes; Catostomidae
Exons: 3
Source: RefSeq, a predicted model, not a curated record
UGUGCCAGUGAGAAAAUCCUGUAAAUAUUUGCAUAAAGUGGGUCCGAGUCCUAGGUUAAAUAGUUUCGGUAUGAGAUUUGUUGGAAUAACCAUGUUAAAUGCUGAGCUGUAAUCAUCAAAAAAUAACCUGGCAUAGCUGUUUCUGUUUUCCGGGUGAGCCAGUGUGGUAUGCAACGCAAGAGAUAUGGCAUCCUCAGCAGAUCUAUUAUGGCGGCUAUUCCUCCAAUGGAGUUCUUGUACAAGGGAGACAUAAUCAGUCAGUCUUUUGCAGAUCUUCCCUGCUGAGUUCAGUGCUGGCGCAGUACAUGCAGAGGGAAGCUGAUGAUAUCAAGAGAGCUGAGCUAGAACAUCAGGCAGAUGAAGAACACUGGGUAACGUGU